GACGAACGCUGGCGGCGUGCUUAACACAUGCAAGUCGAACGGAAAGGCCCUGCUUUUGUGGGGUGCUCGAGUGGCGAACGGGUGAGUAACACGUGAGUAACCUGCCCUUGACUUUGGGAUAACUUCAGGAAACUGGGGCUAAUACCGGAUAGGAGCUCCUGCUGCAUGGUGGGGGUUGGAAAUUUUCGGCGGUUGGGGAUGGACUCGCGGCUUAUCAGCUUGUUGGUGGGGUAGUGGCUUACCAAGGCUUUGACGGGUAGCCGGCCUGAGAGGGUGACCGGCCACAUUGGGACUGAGAUACGGCCCAGACUCCUACGGGAGGCAGCAGUGGGGAAUAUUGCCCAAUGGGAGGAAGCCUGAUGCAGAAACGCCGCGUGCGGGAUGACGGCCUUCGGGUUGUAAACCGCUUUCGCCUGUGACGAAGCGUGAGUGACGGUAAUGGGUAAAGAAGCACCGGCUAACUACGUG
This 468-nucleotide ribosomal RNA is filed under the name uncultured bacterium. RNAcentral describes it as "partial 16S ribosomal RNA". It matches the Rfam family "Bacterial small subunit ribosomal RNA", at positions 28 to 507 of the family's 1533-position model. The record is from RNAcentral.